GACGGGGGGGGCAAGUGUUCUUCGGAAUGACUGGGCGUAAAGGGCGCGUAGGCGGCUUGGUCAGUCCCGUGUGAAAUCCCUCGGCUCAACUGAGGAACUGCACGGGAAACUGCCUGGCUUGAGUUCGGGAGAGGGAAGCGGAAUUCCGGGUGUAGCGGUGAAAUGCGUAGAUAUCCGGAGGAACACCGGUGGCGAAGGCGGCUUCCUGGACCGACACUGACGCUGAGGCGCGAAAGCUAGGGGAGCAAACAGG
RNAcentral lists this ribosomal RNA (253 nucleotides) under uncultured bacterium. Its description in RNAcentral is "partial 16S ribosomal RNA". It matches the Rfam family "Bacterial small subunit ribosomal RNA", at positions 524 to 776 of the family's 1533-position model. The record is from RNAcentral.